GAUGAACGCUAGCGGCAGGCUUAAUACAUGCAAGUCGAGGGGCAGCGCGGGUAGCAAUACCUGGCGGCGACCGGCAAACGGGUGCGGAACACGUACGCAACCUUCCUUUAAGCGGGGAAUAGCCCAGAGAAAUUUGGAUUAAUACCCCAUAAGAUAGUGCAGAAGCAUUUCUGAGCUAUUAAAGAUUUAUCACUUAGAGAUGGGCGUGCGGCUGA
Molecule: ribosomal RNA, 215 nt
Filed under: uncultured bacterium
Lineage: Bacteria
Description: partial 16S ribosomal RNA
Rfam family: Bacterial small subunit ribosomal RNA
Source: RNAcentral